CCUACGGGGGGCAGCAGUGAGGAAUAUUGGUCAAUGGGCGCGAGCCUGAACCAGCCAAGUAGCGUGAAGGAUGACUGCCCUACGGGUUGUAAACUUCUUUUAUAAAGGAAUAAAGUGAGGCACGUGUGCUUUUUUGUAUGUACUUUAUGAAUAAGGACCGGCCAACUCCGUGCCAGCAGCCGCGGUAAUACGGAGGAUCCGAGCGUUAUCCGGAUUUAUUGGGUUUAAAGGGAGCGGAGAUGGGUUGUUAAGUCAGUUGUGAAAGUUUGCGGCUCAACCGUAAAAUUGCAAUUGAUACUGGCAGGCUAGAGAGCAGUUGAGGUAGGCGGAAUGCGUGGUGUAGCGGUGAAAUGCUUAGAUAUCACGAAGAACUCCGAUUGCGAAGGCAGCUUACUAAGCUGCCACUGACAUUGAGGCUCGAAAGUGUGGGUAUCAAACAGGAUUAGAUACCCGGGUAGUC
This 460-nucleotide ribosomal RNA is filed under the name uncultured bacterium. RNAcentral's name for it is "partial 16S ribosomal RNA". It matches the Rfam family "Bacterial small subunit ribosomal RNA", at positions 338 to 795 of the family's 1533-position model. The record is from RNAcentral.